RNAcentral lists this ribosomal RNA (253 nucleotides) under uncultured bacterium. RNAcentral's name for it is "partial 16S ribosomal RNA". It matches the Rfam family "Bacterial small subunit ribosomal RNA", at positions 524 to 776 of the family's 1533-position model. The record is from RNAcentral.
CACGUAGGGCGCAAGCGUUGUCCGGAAUUAUUGGGCGUAAAGAGCUCGUAGGCGGUCUGUUGCGUCCGCUGUGAAAUCUCGGGGCUUAACCCCGAGCCUGCAGUGGAUACGGGCAGACUAGAGGUAGGUAGGGGAGAAUGGAAUUCCCGGUGUAGCGGUGAAAUGCGCAGAUAUCGGGAGGAACACCGGUGGCGAAGGCGGUUCUCUGGACCUUACCUGACGCUGAGGAGCGAAAGCGUGGGGAGCGAACAGG